Molecule: ribosomal RNA, 571 nt
Filed under: Pterochondria woodii
Lineage: Eukaryota; Rhodophyta; Florideophyceae; Ceramiales; Rhodomelaceae
Description: partial 28S ribosomal RNA
Rfam family: Eukaryotic large subunit ribosomal RNA
Source: RNAcentral
UUGCAAAGCACUCUGAAAAGAGGGUGAAAAGAACCUGAAACCGUUAUGUUGAGAGCGUAUUGCAGCAGAGUGAAGGGUGCGUUUUGUUCAGCUUGCGUUUACGUAGGUGUACUCGGAACGUUAUCCGCCAGUCGUGAGCUUUUGGUGGCUGAUCUACAGUCGCUGGAGGUGGAGGGCUCCCCUUUACUGGGUGAGGACGAAUCUGGAUAAUGCUGUGAUUCGACCCGUCUUGAAACACGGACCAAGAAGUCUAGCGUGCAUGCGAGUCAAAGGGUGUGAAAACCUGAGGGCGCAGUGAAAGCGAAAUUAAAAACGUUGCAGUUUGAGGCGGCAUACGAUCGUUGAUUGUAGGUCUGACCUAGAGCACGUAUGCUAGGACCCGAAAGAUGGUGAACUAUGCUUGAGUAGGGUGAAGCCAGGAGAAAUCCUGGUGGAAGCUCGUAGCGGUGCUGACGUGCAAAUCGCUCGUCUAACUUGAGUAUAGGGGCGAAAGACUAAUCGAACCAUCUGGUAGCUGGUUUCCUCCGAAGUUUCUCUCAGGAUAGCGGACCGAUAUAGUGUUGUUGUGUGC